AGUGUUACUCAACAUAUCACAACUAUUUAAGUGUCCUGCACAAUAUAAUAAAUAUUUUCUCUCAUGAUUAGUGAAAAGUAUAAGCUGUGUCAAUGUCCUGUGCAGCAGAUUUGUGCCCUUCAGAGGAACAAUAAUUGAUACCACUAAAGUCUCAUUUCUCAGGUUCCCGGCCUCUGGUGUCAAGACCACUCCAGUUC
Molecule: non-coding RNA, 197 nt
Organism: Ceratotherium simum simum (southern white rhinoceros)
Lineage: Eukaryota; Metazoa; Chordata; Mammalia; Perissodactyla; Rhinocerotidae
Source: RefSeq, a predicted model, not a curated record